Molecule: ribosomal RNA, 332 nt
Filed under: uncultured bacterium
Lineage: Bacteria
Description: bacterial SSU rRNA
Rfam family: Bacterial small subunit ribosomal RNA
Source: RNAcentral
CGCGCAGGCGGAUCCAUAAGUCAGAUGUGAAAGCUCGGGGCGCAACCCCGAAAGUGCGUCUGAAACUGCGGAUCUAGAAUACCGUAGAGGGAAGGGGAAUUUCGCAUGUAGGGGUAAAAUCCGUAGAGAUGCGAAGGAACACCAGAGGCGAAGGCGCCUUCCUGGAAGGUUAUUGACGCUGAGGCGCGAAAGCGUGGGGAGCAAACAGGAUUAGAUACCCUGGUAGUCCACGCCGUAAACGAUGAACACUAGUUUUGGUGGGCAUUAACCCCUGCCGAGACGAAGCAAACGCGUUAAGUGUUCCGCCUGGGAAGUACGGUCGCAAGACUAAA